RNAcentral lists this ribosomal RNA (1217 nucleotides) under uncultured archaeon. Its description in RNAcentral is "bacterial SSU rRNA". It matches the Rfam family "Archaeal small subunit ribosomal RNA", at positions 19 to 1222 of the family's 1478-position model. The record is from RNAcentral.
GGACCCGACUGCUAUUUGGGUGAGAAUAAGCCAUGCGAGUUGAAUGGGAUACCUAAAGUUCCCAUAGCAAACUGCUCAGUAACACAUGAUCAACUUACCCUAUAGAGAAAAAUAACCUCGGGAAACUGAGGAUAAUGUUUCAUAAUUGAAUUGGCUUGGAAAAGUUUUUCAAUGAAAAGGAUAAAAAGAAUGGUUUUUAUCUGCUAUAGGAUAGGAUCGUGUUCGAUUAUGGUUGUUGGUGAGAUAAUGGCUCACCAAGCCGAUAAUCGAUAGGGGCCGUGAGAGCGGGAGCCCCGAGAUGGGUACUGAGACAACGACCCAGGCCUUACGAGGCGCAGCAGGCGCGGAACCUCCGCAAUACACGAAAGUGUGACGGGGUUACCCAAAGUGUUCAAUAGAACUGUGGUAGGUGAGUAAUGUCCCCUACUAGAAAGGAGAGGGCAAGGCUGGUGCCAGCCGCCGCGGUAAAACCAGCUCUUCAAGUGGUCGGGAUAAUUAUUGGGCUUAAAGUGUCCGUAGCCGGUUUAGUAAGUUCCUGGUAAAAUCGGGUAGCUUAACUAUCUGCAUGCUAGGAAUACUGCUAUACUAGAGGGCGGGAGAGGUCUGAGGUACUACAGGGGUAGGGGUGAAAUCUUAUAAUCCUUGUAGGACCACCAGUGGCGAAGGCGUCAGACUGGAACGCGCCUGACGGUGAGGGACGAAAGCCAGGGGAGCGAACCGGAUUAGAUACCCGGGUAGUCCUGGCCGUAAACGAUGCAUACUAGGUGAUGGUACGGCCAUGAGCCGUAUCAGUGCCGUAGGGAAACCGUUAAGUGUGCCGCCUGGGUAGUACGGUCGCAAGGCUAAAACUUAAAGGAAUUGGCGGGGGAGCACCACAAGGGGUGAAGCCUGCGGUUCAAUUGGACUCAACGCCGGGAAACUUACCAGGGGAGACAGCAGUAUGACGGUCAGGUUGACGACCUUACCCGACGAGCUGAGAGGAGGUGCAUGGCCGUCGCCAGUUCGUGCCGUGAGGUAUCCUGUUAAGUCAGGCAACGAACGAGAUCCGCACCUUUAUUUGCCAACAAGAAGUCACGACUUCGUUGGGAACACUAAAGGGACCGCCGUCGAUAAGACGGAGGAAGGAGCGGGCAAAGGCAGGUCAGUAUGCCCCGAAACCCCUGGGCUACACGCGGGCUGCAAUGGUAUGAACAAUGGGCUGUGACUCCAAAGGAGAA